This 2368-nucleotide long non-coding RNA is filed under the name Homo sapiens (human). Its description in RNAcentral is "non-protein coding lnc-TMEM70-1:7". The record is from RNAcentral. Lineage: Eukaryota; Metazoa; Chordata; Mammalia; Primates; Hominidae.
AGUCCGGCUGGCCGCUCACGCGUCGGGCCCCCAUUUACUCUCGUUACUGAGGAGACACGGCUCCAGUUUUGACCCGACUACGGUUGUUUUCUUCGUGUGUACCGCGAAAUGCUGAUGACGUCCGGUUCCGCGCAGUUUUUUUCCUAUUUCGUUUCCAACCACAGUUGUGCGGUUCACAGAUUUUUCCCUUGGGAUGUGUUUUCCAUACCUCCAAGCCCACUCUCAGAGCCUUGGGGCCCCAUAAAACUUCAUGCGCAGCUGCUUUCUGGUAUUUGCAGACCUGGAAGGCUUCUCGUAUUCUUAAUUUGGGGAAGAGAGACAUAGGUUUCCUUGUACAACGGGAUGAGGAUUUAAGAGCAGAACGACACUGAUAUUUUAAAGGCGAGGGUAUUUAGAUUUGUGGAGCUGAAACUUGCCUGAAAAGGGAGACAAAAUUUGGAAGUUUGUUGUGUGCAGUUUCUGCCCCUUACCCCCGCCCUUCACUUUUAAACUGCGCAUAUAUCAACAAUAGUUACGGUUGUUGCAGCAGUCUAAAUUUGAUUAUCAGAAUUGACCCUAGGCAUGAAUUUUUUUUUAAAUAUACCAAUGUCGUGUUAUAUACACUUAUACCAUUAUGUCCAGACUUCUCUUAAGCAUAGUUCGUGGUGGGCAGUUUUGUGGUCAUUUAGGGAUGAACUUGGGUAGGGAAAGCUGAGCAUACAUAAUUUAUUUUAGGAAUGCACCAGUUCUGCCAACAUUUAUCAGAAGUCACGUUUUUAAAAAGCUAUUCUGGAACUGAAGAUGUCAUUGGUUUAUAAGAGGAAAAUGGAAGCCAAAAGCUUACACCUCAUGCUCUAUCUUUAAAAAUUAAGGUGGCAGACACAAUGAGUAGAAGGCUUUUAUGUUACCAGAAUGAAGGCUUAAAAUCUGUCAUUUUAUUGACUCGGCUUUCUUUUUAGAAAUUUCUUUAAGAUAUAAAAGCAAUGUGGAAUAUCACUCUUUCACACUCUUAAAAUAGAUUACGUUCUCUGGAACUUCUCUAAUCUGAAAUGUGUUCAAAAAGGAAAAAGAUCUUUAAAAUACGCCAGUUAGUCUAUGGUAUAAUAUUAAACACUAUUCAUCACUAGAGAAGUUAUGGUGGUAUACCCUCCCCUUUCUCAGAUGUCCACCUUAAUGCCAGAAAUGAGCGGAGUUUCCCUUUGUUGUGCAAAAUGACUGUGUCCUUGAGGGAUGUUUGGAUGCUCUUGGUAAACCGGAAUCAGCCAGAAGCAUAUCCGGUGUUAGCCUUGUUGUGUCAUCAACAUUACAACAGUGAGGAAACCCACAUAUUCCAAUGAAAGAGGAAAACUUAAAGAAGAAGUUUCCAGUGUAUUUUCUUUGAGAUAUAUUUAUUCCUAUGACCUCAGAAGAUCAGCUUUUACCGUCCAAGGUUCACUUUGCCUAAAAGCUGAUUGUUCCUGUGGAAACAGUAGCAUCGGAUGACCCUACAAACAAAGCAUUAUGACAUCAUCAGAGCCAACAACCUGGCAUGACAGAUACUAAUAAGGAAAAAAGAGGUUACAAGAAUUCUGACACUCAUCACAGUGGAUCCAAUAUCUGGUCCCUUGGGUUUCAUAUAUGUUAGAAGUAUCUUCUCAGGAGGGAAAAGUCAAUGCCAGUCAUAUCCUUUCUAGGUAAUACUAAAUAGCACAUAAUAACCUGUCUUCUUUUUUUUUUCUUUUUCUUUGAGACGGAGUCUCAGUCUCACCCAGGCUGGAGUGCAAUGGCGCGAUCUUGGCUCACUGCAACUUCUGCCUCCCAGGUUCAAGUGAUUCGAGUAGGUGGGAUUACAGGCGCACACCGCCACGCUCUGCUAAUUUUUUGUAAUUUUUUUGUAUAUUUUGUAGAGAUGGGGGUUUCACCAUGUUGGCCAGGCUGGUCUCGAAGUCCUGACCUCGUGAUCCACCCGCCUCAGCCUCCCAAAGUGCUGGGAUUACAGGUGUGAGCCACUGCGCCCGGCCAUUCUUUUGUUAAUAUUUAAUAAAAAGAUCCUGACAUAGGAGCCAAAACAGUGACUUACAGAUGGUAUGGGGGGUAUAUAAUUAUCUCCAGUGAGCAUGUAAUGUUAAUAUCUAAAACACUAUUAUGCCAUGUUUGAAGACUAGGCUCAUAUUUCUACAGAGCGAGGCUUACUAUCAUUACUAUCAGAUAGGCAAAAGUUAAAAUGUCUGACAGGAUAAUGCCAGUGCACUCCAGUCUAGGUGACAGAGCAAGACCCUGUUGUCUCAAAAAAAAUAUCUGACAAUACCAAAAGUGAGAGAGGAAGUGGAGCUCUCAUAAACUCUAUAGGAGUGACACUAGUGCAAUCACUUUGGAAAAUAGUUCGGCAAUAAUGAAGUUAAAGUUUCCC